AGAAUCAACGCUGGCGGCGUGCCUAACACAUGCAAGUCGAACGAGAAAGUGGAGCAAUCCAUGAGUAAAGUGGCGACCGGGUGAGUAACACGUGACUAACCUACCUUCGAGUGGGGGAUAACCUCGGGAAACCGAGGCUAAUACCGCAUAACAUCGUGAGAUCAAAGCAGUAAUGCGCUGGAAGAGGGGGUCGCGGCUAAUUAGCUAGUUGGCGGGGUAAUGGCCCACCAAGGCGAAGAUCGGUA
This 245-nucleotide ribosomal RNA is filed under the name uncultured bacterium. RNAcentral's name for it is "partial small subunit ribosomal RNA". It matches the Rfam family "Bacterial small subunit ribosomal RNA", at positions 26 to 285 of the family's 1533-position model. The record is from RNAcentral.